RNAcentral lists this ribosomal RNA (512 nucleotides) under uncultured bacterium. Its description in RNAcentral is "bacterial SSU rRNA". It matches the Rfam family "Bacterial small subunit ribosomal RNA", at positions 1 to 524 of the family's 1533-position model. The record is from RNAcentral.
UAGAGUUUGAUCCUGGCUCAGGAUGAACGCUAGCGAUAGGCCUAACACAUGCAAGUCGAGGGGCAGCACUUCGGGUGGCGACCGGCGCACGGGUGAGUAACGCGUAUGCAACCUACCUAUUACAGGGGAAUAACCCGGAGAAAUUCGGAUUAAUACCGCAUAAGACUGCGAUUUCGCAUGAAGUAGCAGUUAAAGAUUUAUCGGUAAUGGAUGGGCAUGCGUGACAUUAGUUAGUUGGCAGGGUAACGGCCUACCAAGACUACGAUGUCUAGGGGUUCUGAGAGGAAGGUCCCCCACACUGGUACUGAGACACGGACCAGACUCCUACGGGAGGCAGCAGUGAGGAAUAUUGGUCAAUGGGCGAGAGCCUGAACCAGCCAAGUCGCGUGCAGGAUGACUGCCUUAUGGGUUGUAAACUGCUUUUAUAAAGGAAUAACAACUGCCACGUGUGGCAGGAUGAAUGUACUUUAGGAAUAAGGAUCGGCUAACUCCGUGCCAGCAGCCCCGGUCAA